CCAGACUCCUACGGGAGGCAGCAGUGGGGGAUAUUGCACAAUGGGGGGAACCCUGAUGCAGCGACGCCGCGUGGGUGAAGAAGUAUUUCGGUAUGUAAAGCCCUAUCGGCAGGGAAGAAAUUGGACGGUACCUGACUAAGAAGCCCUGGCUAACUACGUGCCAGCAGCCGCGGUAAUACGUAGGGGGCAAGCGUUAUCCGGAUUCACUGGGUGUAAAGGGAGCGUAGACGGCCAUGCAAGCCUGGAGUGAAAGCCCGGGGCCCAACCCCGGGACUGCUCUGGAAACUGCGUCGCUGGAGUACGGGAGGGGCAGGCGGAAUUCCUGGUGUAGCGGUGAAAUGCGUAGAUAUCAGGAGGAACAUCAGUGGCGAAGGCGACUAUCUGGCACAUAACUGACGCUGAGGAGCGAAAGCGUGGGUAGCAAACAGGAUUAGAUACCCUGGUA
RNAcentral lists this ribosomal RNA (445 nucleotides) under uncultured bacterium. RNAcentral's name for it is "bacterial SSU rRNA". It matches the Rfam family "Bacterial small subunit ribosomal RNA", at positions 331 to 792 of the family's 1533-position model. The record is from RNAcentral.